CAUCGGGAGAGGAACAGCAGGGAGAUGCUGGGGGCUCGGUUUUCAGUGCAGUUCCUAGCAAGAAAUUUCUCCAUGUGCAUGGAGCAUUUUCCCGGGUGCGUGUGCGUGUCUUUUUUUCGUCCCUCUCGGGAUUGGACUAAGUCUCCCCCCCCCCACACACACACACACACACACACACACACACACACACACACACACACACACACACACACGCCGCAGGGUUGCGCAGCGUGAUGUAAUUUCUAGGUAGCACUCCUGUUUCUCUGCCCCUCAGAUCCAUGAGGCGGGGAGGUGGUCUUCUCACCCUCCUCCUUGGCCUGGUCCUACCGGAUUUCCAGACUUAGUGUAAACAAAAAUCCUGAGAUUUUUCUCCAAGGUACUUGGAUUUCACAAGAACACAGGUUUGCAUCAUCCGGCUGGGUGGUUUGGCAUUAGUUUGCUGUCUCGUGAAGAUUAAAUGUUCCAGAGCAAUUUUGUCACUGCUGGGAAUCAACUAAGAAAAUAAUUUCUUUCAGUAAAGACUUGAGAA
This is a long non-coding RNA of Rattus rattus (black rat), 529 nucleotides long. RefSeq lists it as uncharacterized. The transcript has 3 exons. The record is from RefSeq and is a predicted model, not a curated record. Lineage: Eukaryota; Metazoa; Chordata; Mammalia; Rodentia; Muridae.